This 245-nucleotide ribosomal RNA is filed under the name uncultured Actinomycetes bacterium. RNAcentral's name for it is "uncultured actinobacterium partial 16S ribosomal RNA". It matches the Rfam family "Bacterial small subunit ribosomal RNA", at positions 28 to 276 of the family's 1533-position model. The record is from RNAcentral. Lineage: Bacteria; Bacillati; Actinomycetota; Actinomycetes.
GACGAACGCUGGCGGCGUGCUUAACACAUGCAAGUCGAGCGGUAAGGCCCUUUCGGGGGUACACGAGCGGCGAACGGGUGAGUAACACGUGGGUGACCUGCCCUGCACUCUGGGAUAAGCCUGGGAAACUGGGUCUAAUACCGGAUAUUCACAUGGUCCUGCAUGGGGUUGUGUGGAAAGUUUUUCGGUGUGGGAUGGCCCGCGGCCUAUCAGCUUGUUGGUGGGGUGAUGGCCUACCAAGGCGA